This 236-nucleotide ribosomal RNA is filed under the name Escherichia coli. RNAcentral describes it as "partial 16S ribosomal RNA". It matches the Rfam family "Bacterial small subunit ribosomal RNA", at positions 1 to 233 of the family's 1533-position model. The record is from RNAcentral. Lineage: Bacteria; Pseudomonadati; Pseudomonadota; Gammaproteobacteria; Enterobacterales; Enterobacteriaceae. RNAcentral also lists the same sequence under 1 other name.
AAAUUGAAGAGUUUGAUCAUGGCUCAGAUUGAACGCUGGCGGCAGGCCUAACACAUGCAAGUCGAACGGUAACAGGAAGCAGCUUGCUGUUUCGCUGACGAGUGGCGGACGGGUGAGUAAUGUCUGGGAAACUGCCUGAUGGAGGGGGAUAACUACUGGAAACGGUAGCUAAUACCGCAUAACGUCGCAAGACCAAAGAGGGGGACCUUCGGGCCUCUUGCCAUCGGAUGUGCCCA